RNAcentral lists this ribosomal RNA (489 nucleotides) under uncultured bacterium. RNAcentral describes it as "partial 16S ribosomal RNA". It matches the Rfam family "Bacterial small subunit ribosomal RNA", at positions 30 to 507 of the family's 1533-position model. The record is from RNAcentral.
UUGAACGCUGGCGGCAGGCCUAACACCUGCAAGUCGCACGGUAACAGAAAGCAGCUUGCUGCUUUGCUGACGAGUGGCGGACGGGUGAGUAAUGUCUGGGAAACUGCCUGAUGGAGGGGGAUAACUACUGGAAACGGUAGCUAAUACCGCAUAACGUCGCAAGACCAAAGAGGGGGACCUUCGGGCCUCUUGCCAUCGGAUGUGCCCAGAUGGGAUUAGCUAGUAGGUGGGGUAACGGCUCACCUAGGCGACGAUCCCUAGCUGGUCUGAGAGGAUGACCAGCCACACUGGAACUGAGACACGGUCCAGACUCCUACGGGAGGCAGCAGUGGGGAAUAUUGCACAAUGGGCGCAAGCCUGAUGCAGCCAUGCCGCGUGUAUGAAGAAGGCCUUCGGGUUGUAAAGUACUUUCAGCGGGGAGGAAGGGAGUAAAGUUAAUACCUUUGCUCAUUGACGUUACCCGCAGAAGAAGCACCGGCUAACUCCGUG